GAAAGUACAUCAUGACAGAGCACACCAUCAUGGCCAGCCCGAGGAGUAUGGCCCGGUCUUCUCCAGCUUUUAGGGCUGUAACUGUUUUCCUUUUGUCCAGUAGAUCGUGAUCCCUGAUUUUUUGGUAAAUAUUUCUGAGGCUGGUCAAAAUCUCCUGUGUUUUCUGCUACAGUUCUUUUGAAUCAUCCAGGCAGCACCCGAAGCAUGUGAACCGCACACCUCUGAGCCCUGGCACCACCAUAACAUGGGCAUAGUAGUACACGUGGAGGAAGUUCCUCUUCUACUGUCUGCAAAAUGGCAGGUCUCUGUCUGAGCACAGUACCUGCUUGCACCAAUCCCAGUUGUGUGGCCGUAAGAGAAGAACAGGAAGCAUAGACCAAGAAAAACAGCAAAAACAUAACUCAUAAAAGAAAUGCAUCUGCAUCAGUAGAAGAAAGUCACCACUUAGGGAUCAUUUAAUGCUCUGGCAGCAGCAACACUAAACUGUGAAGCAGCAACAGCAAUAUCAAAUGGUGCAUUUCUGCCUCGUGACCAGACUUUGCUGUACCGCAAGCUAAUGGACAUGUUGCAGGAGAGAGUGACAUAAAUAACUGUUUUCAUUGGAGCAUCUCAGGAGCUCUGGCUGUACUAACUGACUAAUCCAACUAGCAGAUGACCUUGAAUUUGGGGUUCCUUAUUAUGGCAAGGGGAAAAUGGACAGUGGGCAGCUGGUGUUAAUGUACUGACAAGAGUUUAGGAAGACUGAGGCUAAUGAUGCUUCAUUAAUGAAUUCACCUCUAUUUCUAGCCUUUCUCCUAAAUCUCCCCAGAGCUCAGGGCUGAGCUCUCCACCUAGUUUUCUAGUUGAAUGACAGAGAUAUACAGGCAGUCUGGCUGGGAUCCCAUGGCACAGACAUGUCUAGGACACUCCAUGUCCAAAGGAGGAGGAGAACAGGGCUGCCAGGGACAGCUGAAGCCUUUAUAUGGGGAUGCAGCUUAGCUGUGUGUGGAAUACAGUAGCAUUUGUGUUUGUUUUCAAAGGCAAGAUUUCAUUUAACUUGAAGUUAUCCUUUACAAUUGUUACUUCCCUCUCCCAGUAUAUACAGGAGUAAGAGAGAGAUUCAGACAGGCUGAGAUAUCUAUACCUCUUUGCCACGUGACAAAUCACAGUAUAUUUACACUUCAAAAAUAAAUAUUCCAAAGUAACCUCUAAAUCUUCCAGGUUUCCAUUUCCUCAUGUUUUUUCUUGAGUGCUGUCUUUCUGCAUUUUCAAAAAACUUUCAAGCCUUGCCUUUUAAUGAUGGUUUUCAUCCCUAGGCUGCUUUCUUAAGCUCUUUCCCAAGACCUACCUUCCUAAUGCUAGUCUAAGUAGCCCACACAGCACGGCUGUAGACUUUAUAGUCUUUACUCUUCCUGAUCUUUCUGACUUCAACUUCCUUCUCCACUUUUUCUUUCCUUUCUUUUUCUUUCCCCUCAGGGCCUCUUCCUAUACAUUGCUGUCCCCAAGAUGACUUGUUUCACUUGC
This is a long non-coding RNA of Pezoporus occidentalis (night parrot), 1503 nucleotides long. RefSeq lists it as uncharacterized. The record is from RefSeq and is a predicted model, not a curated record. The transcript has 3 exons. NCBI's taxonomy places the organism in Eukaryota, Metazoa, Chordata, Aves, Psittaciformes, Psittacidae.